UGGGCUUGACAUGCUUGGAUUAUCCCGAUGAAAGUCGGGUAGGCCCCGCAAGGGGUACAACAAGUACAGGUGCUGCAUGGCUGUCGUCAGCUCGUGUCGUGAGAUGUCGGGUUAAGUCCCUUAACGAGCGAAACCUUUACCCUUAGUUACCAGCGGGUUAUGCCGGGGACUCUAGGGGGACCGCCGGUGUCAAACCGGAGGAAGGUGGAGAUGACGUCAAGUCCUCAUGGCCUUUAUGCCCAGGGCCACACACGUGCUACAAUGGCGUCGAUAAAGCGACCCUAAACCGCGAGGUCAUGGAAAUCGCAAAAAUGACGCCCCAGUUCAGAUCGGAGGCUGCAACUCGCCUCCGUGAAGUUGGAAUCGCUAGUAAUCGCGGAUCAGCUACGCCGCGGUGAAUGUGUUCCUGAGCC
Molecule: ribosomal RNA, 413 nt
Filed under: uncultured bacterium
Lineage: Bacteria
Description: bacterial SSU rRNA
Rfam family: Bacterial small subunit ribosomal RNA
Source: RNAcentral